RNAcentral lists this long non-coding RNA (611 nucleotides) under Brassica rapa (field mustard). RNAcentral's name for it is "long non-coding RNA (BRAP_LNC005352)". Lineage: Eukaryota; Viridiplantae; Streptophyta; Magnoliopsida; Brassicales; Brassicaceae. The record is from RNAcentral.
AUAACCUUCGUUGGUUGGACGGGAAAACAAAACUAUAUAUUCGAGACGCGUUUAAAGAAUAAAUUGAUUAUUAACUACUUUACUCAUAUUCAGAUUAAACAUAUGAAAAGCAAUAUAAAUCAUGGUACUAAAAAAUUGUGUGGGUAUUCAUCUUUUUUUUUUUAAUAUAAGUGUGGGUAUUCAUCUUAUACGUCUUGCAAUGAUAAUCUUUUUUUUUUUAGUCGUGCAAUGAUAAUCAAAUACACUUUUAUUGUUUUAGAUAUAAAUCAUUACUCAAAAGAGUCGAAUUCGUAUUUUCUUGAAGUAGUUAGUUACAGUUGAAAUCAUUAGAGUUGUUGAACAAAAAAAAAAAAAUCAUUAGAGUAACAGUUUGGUGGUUUGCAGUUCUCUGGAUUAAUUUAAGUUUUGUUCGGUGAAUUGGUGAUAAAACAAUACGGCUAUACAUAAGUUCUAUCAAUAUCUAAAAAAACUGUUUCGUGAUAGAAUUAAAUGAUAGAUCUCUUCAUAAAUCAGGUAUGACUUAGAAUAGAGAUCCAUGGAAUUGCAAAAAUCUAAGUAUAGACACAUACUAAUGUACUGAUAGGAAUAUUUAGAUAUAUAGUAAAUUCAAA